This is a long non-coding RNA of Oreochromis aureus, 843 nucleotides long. The record is from Ensembl. NCBI's taxonomy places the organism in Eukaryota, Metazoa, Chordata, Actinopteri, Cichliformes, Cichlidae.
CCAGUGUCCAUGCUCACCGCAGGUGAAACCUGCAUCUUCUUCUGUGUUUUGUCCAUUCUGAGGUGCCUUUUGACCUCAGUUGCUCCUCCUGUCUCUGGCACACCCUUUCUUCUGCUGCCCGAUCAUCCGUGUUGGUCCAUCACUGUCCUGCACAGUGUUAAUGCAGAGUUAUCAAGGUCAGCAUUCUUUUGCUCGGCCUUACUUUUCAUUCGGGCUUAAUGGGCGUCUCGUCACAGCUCUGUCAGCUGAAGCUGUCUGGAAAUCUCCUCCGUGUAGUGAAACGAGCCUUGGAUUUAACGCUCCCCGUCUCUGCUGCAUGAGAUCGCUUUCCUGUAGCACUGUUGACAUUUUUAGAUUGUUGUUAUGGGUCCAGCUGCUGCAGCAUUUGGUCAGGGUCAAGGUCAGAGAUGGUAGAGGGGAGAGCAGGAGUCCAGGUCAGCUUCGGCUUUCAGGACUGGCAAAGCAGCCUGUGAUUAAACAUAAAGAGAAAAAACAAAAACAAAACAAAAACAGACGAACAGGAAAAUGAUGUUGUAUUGGCUGUGUUAUUCAGAGAGGGGAGAAACACCGGGCCAGGCCCUGUGUCAGCCUUCUCUCCCCCCUUUUUUUGUGUUUUUUCUCACCAUAUAAUCAACUCAUAACCCACCAAGUUGACAGGACAACACAGGUAGAUAUUUAAAUUCUUAAGAACAUCGUCAGUAAUCACUUGUGUUGUUCAAUCAGCAGAAAACAUCUCACAAUUUGUUGUAUUACCAACUAAAUUUGUCUGAUUACUGCUUGGUCAUACCAGACUCUCUCUUUUAUUUUAUUUUUUUUAAUUUUUAUUUUCUAUUUUCACAAACG